RNAcentral lists this ribosomal RNA (374 nucleotides) under uncultured bacterium. Its description in RNAcentral is "bacterial SSU rRNA". It matches the Rfam family "Bacterial small subunit ribosomal RNA", at positions 523 to 898 of the family's 1533-position model. The record is from RNAcentral.
AUACGUAGGUGGCGAGCGUUGUCCGGAAUUACUGGGCGUAAAGGGUGCGUAGGCGGAAUCUUAAGUCAGAUGUGAAAACCUUGGGCUUAACCUGAGAAUUGCAUUUGAAACUGGGGUUCUAGAGUGCAGGAGAGGGAAGCGGAGUUCCUAGUGUAGCGGUGAAAUGCGUAGAUAUUAGGAAGAACACCAGUGGCGAAGGCGGCUUUCUGGACUGUAACUGACGCUGAUGCACGAAAGCGUGGGGAGCAAACAGGAUUAGAUACCCUGGUAGUCCACGCUGUAAACGAUGAGUGCUAGGUGUGGGGGGCUAAGCCCUCUGUGCCGCAGUAAACGCAAUAAGCACUCCGCCUGGGGAGCACGGUCGCAAGACUAAA